Molecule: ribosomal RNA, 409 nt
Filed under: Fusobacteriota bacterium
Lineage: Bacteria; Fusobacteriati; Fusobacteriota
Description: Fusobacteria bacterium partial 16S ribosomal RNA
Rfam family: Bacterial small subunit ribosomal RNA
Source: RNAcentral
UGGGGAAUAUUGCACAAUGGAGGGAACUCUGAUGCAGCAACGCCGCGUGCGGGAUGACAGCCUUCGGGUUGUAAACCGCUUUCAGCCAUGACGAAGCUUUUGUGACGGUAGUGGUAGAAGAAGCACCGGCUAACUACGUGCCAGCAGCCGCGGUGAUACGUAGGGUGCGAGCGUUGUCCGGAAUUAUUGGGCGUAAAGAGCUUGUAGGCGGUUUGUCGCGUCGAUAGUGUAAACACGCAGCUUAACUGUGUGCCUGCUGUCGAUACGGGCUGAGUAGAGGAGGGUAGGGGAGAAUGGAAUUCCCGGUGGAGCGGUGGAAUGCGCAGAUAUCGGGAGGAACGCCAGUGGCGAAGGCGGUUCUCUGGACCUUUCCUGACGCUGAGAAGCGAAAGCGUGGGUAGCAAGCAGG